GGCGGCACGCUCAACACAUGCAAGUCGAACGAGAAACCCGAGCUUGCUCGGGUGGACAGUGGCAGACGGCUUAGUAACGCGUGGGUAUCUACCUAGAGGUUUGGAACAACUAUUGGAAACGAUAGCUAAUACCAAAUAUUCCCUAAGGGGGAAAGAUUUAUCGCCUUUAGAUGAGCCCGCGUCGGAUUAUGCUUGUUGGUAGGGUAAAGGCCUACCAAGGCAACGAUCCGUAGCUGGUCUGAGAGGAUGAUCAGCAAGAUUGGGACUGAGACACGGCCCAGACUCCUACGGGAGGCAGCAGUGGGGAAUAUUGCGCAAUGGGGGAAACCCUGACGCAGCCGAUGCCGCGUGAGUGAAGAAGGCCUUAGGGUUGUAAAACUCUUUCACCGGUGAAGAUAAUGACGGUAGCCGGAGAAGAAGCCCCGGCUAACUCCGUGCCAGCAGCCCGCGGUAAUACGGAGGGGGCUAACGUUGUUCGGAAUUACUGGGCGUAAGGCGCGCGUAGGCGGAUUAGACAGUUGAGGGUGAAAUCCCGGAGCUUAACUCCGGAACUGCCUUCAAUACUACUAAUCUUGAGUUCGGAAGAGGUGAGUGGAAUUCCUAGUGUAGAGGUGAAAAUUCGUAGAUAUUAGGAAGAACAUCAAGUGGCGAAGGCGACUCACUGGUUCCCGAUACUUGACGCUGAGGUGCGAAAGCCGUGGGGGAGCAAACAGGAUUUAGAWUACCCWUGGUARGUCUCCACGCCCGUNAAACGAUGGAAGUCUUAUGUUUGUCCGGSCSGGCAUGC
RNAcentral lists this ribosomal RNA (787 nucleotides) under uncultured Alphaproteobacteria bacterium. Its description in RNAcentral is "bacterial SSU rRNA". It matches the Rfam family "Bacterial small subunit ribosomal RNA", at positions 38 to 844 of the family's 1533-position model. The record is from RNAcentral. Lineage: Bacteria; Pseudomonadati; Pseudomonadota; Alphaproteobacteria.